AUGUACUAAAGUACACUACGGUUCCUCCGCUCCGGCCGCUAUCGGCUAACGGUCUCUCGCUACGGACCAUGAGCA
RNAcentral lists this small RNA (75 nucleotides) under Herbaspirillum sp. meg3. RNAcentral describes it as "Xanthomonas sRNA sX9". It matches the Rfam family "Xanthomonas sRNA sX9". Lineage: Bacteria; Pseudomonadati; Pseudomonadota; Betaproteobacteria; Burkholderiales; Oxalobacteraceae. The record is from Rfam by way of RNAcentral.